RNAcentral lists this ribosomal RNA (493 nucleotides) under uncultured bacterium. RNAcentral describes it as "partial 16S ribosomal RNA". It matches the Rfam family "Bacterial small subunit ribosomal RNA", at positions 29 to 508 of the family's 1533-position model. The record is from RNAcentral.
AGUGAACGCUGGCGGUAGGCCUAACACAUGCAAGUCGAACGGCAGCACAGUAAGAGCUUGCUCUUACGGGUGGCGAGUGGCGGACGGGUGAGGAAUACAUCGGAAUCUACUUUUUCGUGGGGGAUAACGUAGGGAAACUUACGCUAAUACCGCAUACGACCUACGGGUGAAAGCAGGGGAUCUUCGGACCUUGCGCGAUUGAAUGAGCCGAUGUCGGAUUAGCUAGUUGGCGGGGUAAAGGCCCACCAAGGCGACGAUCCGUAGCUGGUCUGAGAGGAUGAUCAGCCACACUGGAACUGAGACACGGUCCAGACUCCUACGGGAGGCAGCAGUGGGGAAUAUUGGACAAUGGGCGCAAGCCUGAUCCAGCCAAACCGCGUGGGUGAAGAAGGCCUUCGGGUUGUAAAGCCCUUUUGUUGGGAAAGAAAAGCAGCAGGUUAAUACCCCGCUGUUCUGACGGUACCCAAAGAAUAAGCACCGGCUAACUUCGUGC